AUGAGUCACCGGAGAAGGGACCAGAACUAAGAACGCAUUGCAUCCCUCAGCCAACGCUGGAUGCUCCUCUGUGCCAGACACUGCCCUGGGCCUUAAGGACAGAGCAGAGAACGAAGCAGCCAAGGCCUCAGCCUUGUGCGGUUCACACACAAGGAGAGGAAACGGAAAAUAAAAGAAUUCCGAUUGUGGGAGGUUUUAUGAGGGAAAUAAACUGAGUGAUGCGAAGCAGGGGUUGGCAAACUACGGCCCGCGGGCCAGAUCCCGCUCCAGGGCUCUUUGUCCGCCAGCAAGCUAAGAACGGUUUUACGUGUCUAAAGCUUGUAAAAAAGAAAAAGAAUAUGCCACAGAGACCGUACAGCCCACAAAGCCUGGAGGUUUGCUCUCUGUAUGGAAAAAGUCUGCCAACUCCUGGCGAGAGCAGGGGCAGCUCUGAACUAGUAAGGUCUGCGCUCCUACCUCGUAACGCGGCCUCUUUCUACUCCCCCAGAGCUGCCUCCACCUCAGGGAGAAUAAAACAUUGAAAUGGUUCGUCAAAAGUUCACCGGAGUUGGCAACCUGCCCGCAGCCAAGAGUCCGGAUUUCCGGACGCCUCCUUCCCCACCUGCUGUCUGGGGUCUUAAGUAACCUGGUCCUCAAUCUGGCCACAGCUGUGCCUGCCCCUCUCCCCAACCGGCAGGCCCAGGAGCCACACAGGCAACAGCUUCUCCCACGGACCCCCAAGCUUCUCCCACGGACCCCCAACCCCUCCGCUCACCUCCGACUCCCGCCUGAACUACUUGGUCAAAAAUAGAACCGGGUGGAUCCCUAUUUCAAGGCACCUCCCUGGAAAUCCAAUACCCAGAAACACUGACUUCUUUUAUUUCAGUCAAAUACAUUUCUCAGUCCAAGGCUCAGAGUUCAACUUUACAAACCCUGGCAUUUGGAAACAAAGGAAGAGAUGUUUAUGUCCAAAGAAAAUCAAAUAGUCACCUCUAGCUCCCCUGGAAGGAAAGUCCAUAGGACACAUUCCAGCAGAAACUGUGAAUGGAAACCCACGGGAAGCAAGAAGUAUGGCACAAAGCCCUGAGCUCACCACUCAGCAGCAUCUGUGACACAUUCCGCCACAUUUCUGUGCCAAACGGGAACUCAGCUGUCUCUUAAAAAAUAUCUGUCCCAUCAAUGUUCAACACAGAGCCUCUCCUCUUACACAGCCCUCACCCUGGAAGGUUCCAGAAGACCAUUUUGUUCACAGUGAAAUCUCGAGUAAAUUUCACUCGAACAGUUAACUUUGAAAUUGUUACACUAGCCAUUCCCUAACAUUAAAAUAACUCGCAUGUGCACACAAAGGGAUACAAUAAAUUCUUACUAUGGUGAUGGGGAAACGUCUCGUGAAAGGUGAUGGAUGGAACACGCUCACCUGUGAUUCCUCCCCGAAUCCUAUUAAAACCCUAGUAAAGAGAUUCUUUAAAGGAAUAAAUGCACAAGAAUAUAAAGAGUAAGAAACAGCAGGCACUAAAUUUGGAAGCUGGAAAGCAGAUGGAUAAAUGGUAACCAAUAGACUAGAAGCCAGAAAGCCGAGGGGAGAAAGCUAAGACUCCACCUGAUUCACACAAAAGACCCCCCAGCAGGAGGGAGCAGCUACAGGGCCUCCUGGCCGGAGGGUGAAAGAGGGGUUGGAAACAGAAGGAUUAGCUGAGAGUCGACCUAAGGAGAAGUGAGACCUCUCCCAUCCCCCAUAGUUGGCCAAAAGCCCCUUCUGCCUCCAGAAGGCUGGAAGCUGAGUCUUUGGAGAAAGUGAAACAGGAUGUCCACACUAGGGACAUCAAGGACCUAUGGGAAGGAAGGACCUGAGCCAAAAAUAGGAAAUCAAAUCACAGCUGACACACUGGACAUCGAGAGCCACAGUCUUCUUCCCCGACUCAGAUCUCAGAGUGCCAACAAAAAAGGAGAUUGGAAAAUUUCACUGAGGAAUCUGAUCAAGUCAAAAGAGCUGCGGGAGCUAACAUUUGUUUUGUGUCCUCUGAGGACAAAUGAUAGACAGGUGCUUCUCGAAACACCCCCGACACCUGCCAUCUGUUUGGAAACUCCGGGGCGGCCGACAGAAAAGCCUGGCCAGGCGGGGUGCUGGUAAGAUUUAUAACUUGCCAAGGAGCCCAGUGGCCUCCUCCUGGCCCCACAGGUGACUGCAAACUCCUCAGACUCAGGUGAGGCCAUGCUGGUGGCUGCACAGUGCUCAGAGGUGGCUCAUCCUGAGCCCCAAGGAGCUCCAUUCACAGGCUGAGGUGGAACCCUGCGCGGCCCGGCCCCCGCUCGCCUGGCUGUGGGUGACAAUCCAUGUGUCCUCUCACUGUCGGUUCUCCUCAGGCAACCCUGCCUCUUCUCAGCAGGCAGGAAACACUCCCCAAACUGAAUCGCUGAGCCCAAGAUGGAGGAAUUCAGGUAAUGAGAGCAAAAUGAUACAGAUAAAAUGCGUUUUAUUAUCGACAGCCCAUACCACUUGGAUCAAAACAACCCCACAGGUACGUAAUAUUUUUAUUACCUCCAUUUUACAGAUAAAGAAACUGAGCCCCAGAGAGGUAAAGUGACUUGCCCAGGGUCACACAGCUCAUCAGUGGCAUUGACUGGAACCAGGACCCUGGUUUCCUGAGCCUAAGUCCACAGCUGCGUCUACCUUUGCUCUGAUUCAGCCAGUCCCGAGACCUGGCGUCACAAAGCCCCAGAGAAUGCCAGUGCUCUCUCUAGGCUUCAGUCAGCAAGCAUCCGUGGGCAGUUCAAGCUCUGGCUGCAGAACCAGGGGUCAGCACUCCUCACCCCACCCCGACCUGGCUCCAAGGGAUAAGCCCGUCACCCUCCUGGCCCCAGCUCGGGAAAGGAGGGGUUAUGCAGGGAGUUUUCGCUGCCCCCGACCCCGCACCAGCCCCUCCGCCCACCGCAAUCAACUGCAUUUGUAGCCACCCUCUUAGGGGAAGUAUAGGGUCUCUGGUCUUGGGAAGAAAACCAGACUUUCCAGAGCUGGGGUCAGGCAGUUGCAUGAGAUACAUGCGAAGAGGGAACUGGCAGGAGACAGCCAGGCUUCCUCGCAGCUGCCCAGGGACGCGGUGCUCGGGCCAGGCAGACAAGGGGGCCAGAACUGCCUGAGUCCCUCCCGGCUUUGGAUUCAGCGUGGUCUGGGGCCGAACACCCACGGCGGCAGGGGGCGUGAAGACUAAGUGGAUGAUAUGGUGAAAAACAGCUCACUACAGAAUCCUCCAGCUAUCCACAGGCUCCCUCCUUUGGGUCUUUCUGCAAAUGCCCACCUCUGCCCACCUGUCCCAAAGUCGCCCCCCAGUACUCUCCAACCGCUUUUGCUUUCUCUCUCUCCGGAGUGCUCGUCUCCGUCGGACACAUUUUCAGCUUAUCUUCGCAGCAAGAUCAACCCCAGCUUGCUUCUCCGCAAGCUCGGAGAGUCCUCACAACUCUGAUGCAGCCACUCCAAGCCCCAGACCUGUUGGGCCAUUUUGUGUCCCUUACCCUGGUGGGCUCCAAACCAGUGCUUCUCAAACUUAAACAUGCAGAGUGAUCGCCAGGGGGGUCUUGUUAAAUACAGAAAUGAAACCGGCAGGGCUGGAUGGGGAUUUGGAAUGCUUUCCCAGGUGAUGCUGAUGCAGAAUUUAGCCUAAGGGCUAAUUAAUGUUCUUUCCAUUCUCCUUUCCUCUCCCCGUCUCCGCCUGUCCACCCUGACCCUUUACUCACUCGCUCUCUGUCCCCGUCUCUCUCCCUCUGUCUCUCCCCUGCCCUCUCUCUUCCCUUCUCUCGCUGGUGUCCCCUCCUACGCCAUUCUCAUCUCUUCCUUUCCUUUCCCACUCCUGCCCUUCCAUUAGCUACACCAGGAGUUAACUGGCACCCUCAGGCAUUGUCCCAACCUGCUGGGCUAAAAGGUCAUAACCUCUGAUUCUAGGGGGAUUCCAGAGAAGGUGCCAGGCUCCCUAUUUGCAGAAGCAACAUUAAACCAGGAGACCCCCGAACUUAGCUAUUCAGGGCUGGGCUCAUCACAUUCCCUUCUUAAUAACCGCAUAAUGACUCCUAUUAACAGCCCAUCAAAGGCAAUUACUCCUCUGGAGGAACAAAGGCUCCCGCAAGCCAUUUCUCUCUCCAUUUGUAGCAAACGCUCUCCUUCCACACCUGCAUCCUGACCACCCCCUCCACCCCGCUUCUGAGGGCAAAUCUUACAGAUUUGUCUGCCUCCUCCUGGCUUCUCUCCAGCGGCCGCUCAGCUGACAGUUCCUCACCAUCCUGUCCCCGGGACGGCUGGGGACCUGGGGCAAUCUUCAGAGUCCUUCCCUCCUUCCACGCCUGAGGGCAGGUUACAGGGGGCACAGAGAGUCAUUAGGAACAGACACAAUGUGUCCUGCAGAAACUCUCAGAAGCUCCAUGUUUACAAGCAUAUUAAGCAGCGUAGACCGUAAAGUGGGGAAACGGAAAUUACCUCCACGACCAUCCCCGUCAAAUAGAACCCAGUGGGCCACCAAGCAAUUAAGUGGGUCCAAAACAAUAAUAAGCGCUUAUAUUGAACUUGACUUACUGUGCGCCCACCCCCACACUGAGCACUUUACACAUACGACCUAAUUUAACGUCACAACAACCCUGUGACAAUUGUUAUCCCCGUUUCUCAGCUAAGGAAACCAAAGCAUGGGUAUCAUUAACCUAUUUUUGCCCCAAACUGAAUUUCACUCCACAGCAACCAAUCUCUAAUCUUUAAGCAAAUUUUAGGGUUUUUUUUUUUAAGUAUAGACCAUGGCCAGU
RNAcentral lists this long non-coding RNA (4761 nucleotides) under Equus caballus (horse). Its description in RNAcentral is "lncRNA (ENSECAG00000049545.1)". The record is from RNAcentral. Lineage: Eukaryota; Metazoa; Chordata; Mammalia; Perissodactyla; Equidae.